AGCAGCCGCGGUAAUUCCAGCUCCAAUAGCGUAUAUUAAAGUUGUUGUGGUUAAAAAGCUCGUAGUUGAACCUUGGGCCUGGCUGGCCGGUCCGCCUCACCGCGUGUACUGGUCCGGCCGGGCCUUUCCCUCUGUGGAACCCCAUGCCCUUCACUGGGUGUGGCGGGGAAACAGGACUUUUACUUUGAAAAAAUUAGAGUGCUCCAGGCAGGCCUAUGCUCGAAUACAUUAGCAUGGAGUAAUAGAAUAGGACGUGUGGUUCUAUUUUGUUGGUUUCUAGGACCGCCGUAAUGAUUAAUAGGGACGGUCGGGGGCAUCAGUAUUCAAUUGUCAGAGGUGAAAUUCUUGGAUUUAUUGAAGACUAACUACUGCGAAAGCAUUUGCCAAGGAUGUUUUCAUUAAUCAGGAACGAAAGUUAGGGGAUCGAAGACGAUCAGAUACCGUCGUAGUCUUAACCAUAAACUAUGCCGACUAGGGAUCGGACGAU
This 487-nucleotide small RNA is filed under the name uncultured Paraglomus. RNAcentral's name for it is "SSU rRNA". It matches the Rfam family "Eukaryotic small subunit ribosomal RNA", at positions 569 to 1061 of the family's 1831-position model. Lineage: Eukaryota; Fungi; Glomeromycota; Glomeromycetes; Paraglomerales; Paraglomeraceae. The record is from RNAcentral.